This 389-nucleotide ribosomal RNA is filed under the name uncultured bacterium. Its description in RNAcentral is "bacterial SSU rRNA". It matches the Rfam family "Bacterial small subunit ribosomal RNA", at positions 29 to 416 of the family's 1533-position model. The record is from RNAcentral.
AUUGAACGCUGGCGGCAUGCCUUACACAUGCAAGUCGAACGGCAGCACGGGGGCGAACCCUCGUGGCGAGUGGCGAACGGGUGAGUAAUACAUCGGAACGUGUCCUCUUGUGGGGGAGUAACCAGUCGAAAGAUUGGCUAAUACCGCAUGAGAUCGCAAGAUGAAAGCGGGGGACCGCAAGGCCUCGCGCGAGAGGAGCGGCCGAUGUCGGAUUAGCUAGGNGGUUAGGGGUAAAGCCUACCAAGGCGACGAUCCGUAGCUGGUCUGAGAGGACGACCAGCCACACUGGGACUGAGACACGGCCCAGACUCCGUACGGGAGCAGCAGUGGGGAAUUUUGGACAAUGGGCGCAAGCCUGAUCCAGCCAUGCCGCGUGUGUGAAGAAGGCC